RNAcentral lists this ribosomal RNA (520 nucleotides) under uncultured bacterium. Its description in RNAcentral is "bacterial SSU rRNA". It matches the Rfam family "Bacterial small subunit ribosomal RNA", at positions 29 to 526 of the family's 1533-position model. The record is from RNAcentral.
AAUGAACGCUGGCGGCGUGCCUAACACAUGCAAGUCGAACGAGAACGGUUAGCUUCGGUUAACUUAGUACAGUGGCGCACGGGUGAGUAACGCGUGGGUAAUCUACCUUUAGGUCCGGGAUAACGUUUCGAAAGAGGCGCUAAUACGGGGUAUGACCACAGUAUCUUCGGAUAUAGUGGUAAAAGGGGCUUUCGGGCCUUGCCUGAAGAUGAGCCUGCGUGACAUUAGAUUGACGGUGGGGUAAUGGCCUACCGUAUUGUCUACGAUGUCUAGCUGGUCUGAGAGGAUGAUCAGCCACACUGGGACUGGAACACGGCCCAGACUCCUACGGGAGGCAGCAGUGAGGAAUUUUGCGCAAUGGGGGAAACCCUGACGCAGCAACGCCGCGUGAGUGAUGAAGGCCUUUUGGUUGUAAAGCUCUGUCGCCUGGGAAGAACCUUUGGGAUAGGAAAUGAUCUCAAACUGACGGUACCAGGAAAGGAAGGACCGGCUAACUCCGUGCCAGCAGCCGCGGUAAUAC